Long non-coding RNA from Lactuca sativa (garden lettuce), 2050 nucleotides. RefSeq lists it as uncharacterized. Lineage: Eukaryota; Viridiplantae; Streptophyta; Magnoliopsida; Asterales; Asteraceae. The record is from RefSeq and is a predicted model, not a curated record.
AAGAUAGGUACCCCAAAUAUCUAAAACUAUGUCUUUUGAUAAGGAGUGUGAGUUUCUCGGUACCUUAUUCUCUCUUUAUUUUGUGAGGCCUUCAUAGCUAACAUGUUCAAAGAGGGACAUUUCAUGAUCAUCCCCCAUUGACAACCAUGGUUACUUUGUAUCAUCCCUAACUUCCGUCGCUCUUGGGUUGUGGAGUAGAAAUUACAUGAAAUGAUUAAUCAAAGGGGAAAGUGGUAUAAUAGCUUUAUCUGUCGAAGAGCUAAAGAUAAGUGGAUUUGAUAAAAACAGUCAAUGUUAUACGUUUGAAUAGUUAACUGGCUGGUAUCGUGACUUCUGGAACAAUCCUGGAGAAUUCAAAAAAGUGUUAUGGCUUAAUUCAGUAGGUCUAAAUAGGGUGAAAUUGGUGUUUUGAUAGAGGGGAAUUGUAAAUGUUUAACUUGCACCCACCAUGUGUUUGACAUAAUGCCAACAAGAAGAAUGAGGCAUGCAUUUUGGAGACCUUAUAGGGGUAUUUUUGUCUUUCAUUUUUAUUUCUUUCAAUGUUUAUCAGAAGUCAUUUUCUUCUGUUGUUGCUGCUAUCAUUCAUAAAAAUGCAAAUAAUAUUGGAGUACAUGGAUCAAGAACUCAAAAGCUACAUAGAAAAAACAAAGCAACCAUUUAGUCAAAGUGAAGUUGAAUGUUAAUGAUCUAACUUCUUCAAGGAUUAUAUUUUCUUCAUGAAAAUUGGAUGAUUCGUAGUGAUUUGAAGACUUCAAACUUGCUUUUGGACAAUAAUGGUGAUUUAAAGAUUUGUAUUUUGGUAUGUCACGACAAUACGGGAGUCCAGUGAAGCCGUAUUUUGAUGGGAACAGAAGAGCAGAUUGAUCAGAUUUUUAAGACACUUGGGAUAUAGAAUGAGAAGAUAUGGCCUAGUUAUUCAAAGUUGUCGGGAGGUAAAACUGUCUUUUGCGAAGUAGAAUUGUAAUAAUGCAUUUUUACUCGUUGCCUACUUUUUUCUCUAAUUCAUGUCUUCUACCAUUAUAAAUAAGGUUGCUAUGACUUAUGAUUUUGAAGAAAAAGUUUUUAUUCAGUAAGUGUUGUAUUAUUUUUGAUGAUAGGAUGGGAAAGGAUACUGAUCAACUUUACAAAAAUGAAAGUCAAAAGGAUGAUAUCGAGUUGCCAUUUCUUAAUCUAUCAAAAAUAGCGAAAGCUACACAUAAUAUUUCAUUUGAUAAUAAGCUUGGAGAAGGCCUAUGAACCAGUUUACAAGGGUGAGUGCAUCUGUCAUGGCUCUUCCAUCCAAUAAUGAUGUUGUGGACACUUCCAACACAAAAAAGAAGUCUAGUUGUUCCAUGAUUUGGAAAUCAUUUUUGCAUAAUGAAGGACAUAAUGACAUAUUAGGAGCCCAAAAGAUUUGAGAUCAAAUGGUCUUAACAAAAAAAACUCUAGAAUUGUAGAUGCGAUUGUUUUAUGAUAGUGUACUUACCCUUUUUUUUCAAAAUGAGAAAUGUACUUAUACUUAUCAUUUUUAAUCAAAAAUAGCAAUUGAGAUUCUUCGCUUUUGGUCGUAUUGUUUAAGUGAGUUGAACUUCCAUAUCCUUAAGUUCUUGAGGAUUACCAUCUUUGGGACAGGGGCAAAAUCGUCCCAUAAUUUUAAAAACCAUCAAACUUAUGCGUAGAUUAACACAACAUUAACCAAAAUGACAGCCUACUUUCAUUUUUAACAUAGAAUUGCAGAAAAGUUUCGUUUUGAACCCAAAAUGACAGCUUUAUUUCAUUUUCACCCAAAAUUGCAGAAAAGUUUUGUUUUGAACCCAAAAUGACAACCUACUUUCAUUUUUAACCCCAAAUAUCCUCAUACUUUUGUUUUUUUUCACAAAAUACCCUCAUACCUCCAUUUUUUUCACAAAAAUACCAUCAUACUUCCGUUUUUUUCACAAAAUACCAUCAUAUUUCCGCUUUUUUCAUAAAAUACCCUCAUAAUUUCGUUUUUUCACAAAAUACCAUCAUAUUCCGUUUUUUUCACAAAAUACCAUCACACUUCCGUUUUUUUUUCAUAAAAUACCCUCAU